GCCAGAUCUAGCAGCAAAUGGUGCACACGGGAAUAUGUAAGGUUGUGUGUACAUUGUGUUUAGGUUACCUCCUCGUAGCUGAAGGCGGAGCUCCCUCUGAUCGUUGUAGGCCUGCAUUGCGCGCUCCCGGUAAUUCCGGUACUCCUCCAUCAUCAGCCGACGCUUGUCCACCAGCUCCUGCACAGGCAAGUGGAACCCUUCACCAUUGCCCUCACCUUGACCCCUUGACCUUACCUGUGUUCCCUUGGGUGUGCGGUCCACCUUGACGCACAGGUAGUCUCCGUUGCGCUGCCAGUGCAGCUUGCAGUCCACCACGUUGAAGAGGUUCCUGACGCGGAUCUCCUGACGCGAGGGCAGUUGCAUCAGUGUCACGCGCGCCGGGAUGUCCUUAUCCUCCGGGACCCAGAACGCAAUGAUGUUGUCACCCGGCGACCACGAGAAAUCCCUUCAAUAAAAGAAAUGCACCACU
Alosa sapidissima (American shad) is the source of this 469-nucleotide long non-coding RNA. RefSeq lists it as uncharacterized. The transcript is spliced from 3 exons. The record is from RefSeq and is a predicted model, not a curated record. Lineage: Eukaryota; Metazoa; Chordata; Actinopteri; Clupeiformes; Clupeidae.